This is a long non-coding RNA of Mizuhopecten yessoensis (Yesso scallop), 767 nucleotides long. RefSeq lists it as uncharacterized. The record is from RefSeq and is a predicted model, not a curated record. The transcript is spliced from 3 exons. Lineage: Eukaryota; Metazoa; Mollusca; Bivalvia; Pectinida; Pectinidae.
AGGUAUUCCGGGGAUAAACGGAGACAGAACCCGAAUGUAAGUCUGUAGGUAAUCCGGGGAUUAACUGAAACAUAACCCAAGUGUAAAUCUGUAUGUAAUACGGGGAUUAACGGAGACAUAACCCAAGUGUAAGUCUGUAGGUAAUCCGGGGAUUAACUGAGACAUAACCCGAAUGUAAGUCUGUAGGUAAUCCGGGGAUUAACUGAGACAAAAUCCCAAUAUAAGUCUGUAGGUAAUUUGCAAUAAUGGGAACAUUUUCGACAAAAAUGCCAAGUAAAGUUUUGUGAAUCGAGGAUUACGUGUUAAAAGCUAGAUACCCUUAUGACCAUCCUUACCAACAAUUAUAUAAAGUAGGAUAAAAAGCUAGAUACCCUUAUGACCAUCCUUACCAACAAUUAGAUACAGUAUGAUAAAAAGCUAGAUACCCUUAUGACAUUAUAUACAGUAUGAUAAAAAGCUAGAUACCCUUAUGACCAUCCUUACCAACAAUUAGAUACAGUAUGAUAAAAAGCUAGAUACCCUUAUGAACAUCCUUACCAACAAUUAUAUACAGUAGGAUAAAAAGCUAGAUACCCUUAUGCCCAUCCUUACCAACAAUUAUAUACAGUAUGAUAAAAAGCUAGGUACCCUUAUGACCAUCCUUACCAACAAUUAUAUAAAGUAGGAUAAAAAGCUAGAUUCCCUUAUGACCAUCCUUACCAACAAUUAUAUAAAGUAGGAUAAAAAGCUAGAUCCCCUUAUGACCAUCCUUACCAACAAUUAUAUAC